AGAGGAUUGAAGUCUUCUGGAAAUGUCGACAGGUAACGAUAUCCCCUAAUACGUGUUCCGAUCCUCAUCAGCCUUCACCCAAGAACAUGUUUAAGUGAUGAAGGGUCCAGAGCUGAGGAAGAAAUUCCACUGCUAUUCUCAGAUGUAUAUACCCAAACAUGGGUAAAAACAAGGAAGCAUUUAUAGCACUGUGUAUUGUUGAAGUCCUUUUGGUUAAAAAUGGGACGAAACAAAACAAACCAAAACAAAACAAAAACAUUUUGGGCAGCCUCCUUCCCCUGUUGCCGACUCGUGAGUUUCCUACUUGGACAUGAGAAAUUACAGUGAUGGAACAAAGUGGGAACUCUGCUUGGCCAUGGACACUCAGGGUAAAGCUGAG
This 379-nucleotide long non-coding RNA is filed under the name Sus scrofa (pig). Its description in RNAcentral is "lncRNA (ENSSSCG00060062278.1)". Lineage: Eukaryota; Metazoa; Chordata; Mammalia; Artiodactyla; Suidae. The record is from RNAcentral.